Sinocyclocheilus grahami is the source of this 82-nucleotide long non-coding RNA. RefSeq lists it as uncharacterized. The record is from RefSeq and is a predicted model, not a curated record. The transcript is spliced from 3 exons. Lineage: Eukaryota; Metazoa; Chordata; Actinopteri; Cypriniformes; Cyprinidae.
GGUUUGUGACCGGAGAGAGAUAUCAGGAGAUGAGAGAUUGGGAGAAAUCUGCUGCUGGUGUCAAGAGCGAUUGGAAGAGCAC